Molecule: ribosomal RNA, 608 nt
Filed under: Stenotrophomonas sp. EECC-329
Lineage: Bacteria; Pseudomonadati; Pseudomonadota; Gammaproteobacteria; Lysobacterales; Lysobacteraceae
Description: bacterial SSU rRNA
Rfam family: Bacterial small subunit ribosomal RNA
Source: RNAcentral
GCGAGUGGCGGACGGGUGAGGAAUACAUCGGAAUCUACCUUUUCGUGGGGGAUAACGUAGGGAAACUUACGCUAAUACCGCAUACGACCUUCGGGUGAAAGCAGGGGACCUUCGGGCCUUGCGCGGAUAGAUGAGCCGAUGUCGGAUUAGCUAGUUGGCGGGGUAAAGGCCCACCAAGGCGACGAUCCGUAGCUGGUCUGAGAGGAUGAUCAGCCACACUGGAACUGAGACACGGUCCAGACUCCUACGGGAGGCAGCAGUGGGGAAUAUUGGACAAUGGGCGCAAGCCUGAUCCAGCCAUACCGCGUGGGUGAAGAAGGCCUUCGGGUUGUAAAGCCCUUUUGUUGGGAAAGAAAAGCAGUCGAUUAAUACUCGGUUGUUCUGACGGUACCCAAAGAAUAAGCACCGGCUAACUUCGUGCCAGCAGCCGCGGUAAUACGAAGGGUGCAAGCGUUACUCGGAAUUACUGGGCGUAAAGCGUGCGUAGGUGGUUGUUUAAGUCUGUUGUGAAAGCCCUGGGCUCAACCUGGGAAUUGCAGUGGAUACUGGGCGACUAGAGUGUGGUAGAGGGUAGUGGAAUUCCCGGUGUAGCAGUGAAAUGCGUAGAG